Scylla paramamosain (green mud crab) is the source of this 552-nucleotide long non-coding RNA. RefSeq lists it as uncharacterized. The record is from RefSeq and is a predicted model, not a curated record. NCBI's taxonomy places the organism in Eukaryota, Metazoa, Arthropoda, Malacostraca, Decapoda, Portunidae. The transcript has 4 exons.
AACCCUCUCUCACUUUCUCUUCCGCUGUUCCCUGGAUUGGAGGCGUGGUUGCAGGAAGUGGUGGUGGUGGAGGAGGAGGAGGAGGGUCAUCUCUCGUCCUUCCUUCCGUCACUUGAGUCACUGUCGCCUGCAUCCCACCGUGGCCUUGAUUCCCGCGUGCAUCUUUUGUGUGUGCCACCACCGCCAAGAGUGACCAAGAGUGAAGAAUCUUCUGUCACCUGACUGCAGUUAGUGUCUUCAGGCAUACCAACGCUUCCUGGCUACUAUACAGUUGACAAGAUACCUCGUGGAAACUGACAAUAAUGCAAAUGAACAACUGCAAAUGAUUGAUGGCUGUGAUAAGUAUUUCUUAACGAGGUGUGCUGGUGUGAAGCUUGGACUGUACGCGUCGUCUUGAGACGAGCAGCUCUUGAUGAUCACAGGACCUAAUCUUGCGGAGUUCUGCAGGUUAUUCUCGUCAUUUCCAUUGUCAGUUUGCAGGCCAUAUGAAGAAGCACAACAGUAACUAUUCUCAGGCAACAUUCCACCUCUUCUGUAGCAAGAAUACGUCUU